This 519-nucleotide ribosomal RNA is filed under the name Conus imperialis. RNAcentral describes it as "partial 12S ribosomal RNA". The record is from RNAcentral. Lineage: Eukaryota; Metazoa; Mollusca; Gastropoda; Neogastropoda; Conidae.
GGUAAAAGACAGUUAAGCAAGAACGAUAAUUAUAUGACCUUUAGUAGAGGAGUAAAAUCUAAAUACUGAAAGUUAUACCAAACAUAAUUUAUUUUAAAUGCUGAAUCUGUGACAACUUUAAGGGAAACUGGGAUUGGAUACCCCACUAUUUUUAGUUAUAAACAUAGUUCAAGCUUACCAGAGUACUACGAAUAAAAAGUUUAAAACUCAAAGGGCUUGGCGGUGUUUUAGACCUCUCAGGGGAACCUGUCUCAUAAUCGACAAUCCACGUCAGACCUGACCCUUUGUAGCAAUUCAGUCUGUAUACCGUCGUCGUCAGGUAACUUCUAAAAAUAUAGCAGUUAGCUCGAUAAUUCUGUUAAUUAGAACGUCAGAUCAAGGUGCAGCUAAUAAAAGGGGGAGGAUGGGUUACAAUUAUAUAUUUAUAACUACGGAAAAAACCUGAAAUGAGGUAAUUAGAAGGAGGACUUGAAAGUAAUUUUGAUUAUAUAAACAAAAUGAAUAAGGCUCUGAAACGUG